This 494-nucleotide ribosomal RNA is filed under the name uncultured bacterium. RNAcentral describes it as "partial 16S ribosomal RNA". It matches the Rfam family "Bacterial small subunit ribosomal RNA", at positions 28 to 507 of the family's 1533-position model. The record is from RNAcentral.
GACGAACGCUGGCGGCGCGCUUAACACAUGCAAGUCGAACGGAAAGGCCUGCUUUCCCUUGUGGAUUGCGGGUACUCGAGUGGCGAACGGGUGAGUAACACGUGAGUGAUCAGCCCCCAACUUGGGUAUAAGCCUGGGAAACUGGGUCUAAUUCCCGAUAGGACUGCAGGGUGGUGCCUGUGGUGGAACACGAUUUUCUAGUGGUUGGGGAUGAGCUCGCGGCCUAUCAGCUUGUUGGUGGGGUAAUGGCCUACCAAGGCGGCGACGGGUAGCCGGCCUGAGAGGGUGGACGGCCACAUUGGGACUGAGAUACGGCCCAGACUCCUACGGGAGGCAGCAGUGGGGAAUAUUGCACAAUGGGCGGAAGCCUGAUGCAGCGACGCCGCGUGGGGGAUGACGGCCUUCGGGUUGUAAACUCCUUUCGACCGCGAGGAAGCCACCUGGUUGGAAGGGUGGUGACGGUAGUGGUAGAAGAAGCACCGGCUAACUACGUG